CAAAGAAAGAAAAAUUAUCUGAUCCUAAAAGGAAAGAAAGACAAUAAAGAAGCUACUGAAAAAGUAAACAAACUGUAAAGAAAAUCAAAGAAAAACGUGCCCACUCCCUUGGGGAAAGAGAUUUCCCGUCCCACUCUUAUCAUCUUUCUAGGAGGCGCCGACGGUUCCAUUUCUACCAAAAAAAAACUGUCAAACUUCUUUCCCUGAAUUGAGACAAUCAUUCAGUCGAAGCAUCCCUGUCCAGAUUUGAUGCUUCGGUAACCCAGGAAACCGGAAAAACCAAGAACCGUUCAUUUGUCAGUCAGGCUCGCGCAGCCAAUCAUCGGACAAAGUUGUUGCAGUGGAGUCCGGGACAGACCCGAUCAGGCAUGUAAGGGCUUCCCCGGCGAAAGCUGAUCCCACAUUGUCGUGCACAACUGCUUUAGACGCUAUUACCACACCCUCGCUAUUUCGAGCAACCAGCCCUGUACCUGAUCUAUACAGUUCCAUGACAAAAGCCGUAUCAAAGUUUACUUUGAUAAAAAUCGGUAGGAGGAGGAUUCUAGAUGACUUUAUCACCCUGGACGACCAGAUGACCCAAACAGAGCAGCAAACAAUCCUUCAUUGAGUGUGCGAGCAGACAUUAAAAACCGCACCCCUGACUAGGUCGGUUUAAUAAAUCAAUGACGCCUAAAAUUUCCCAAACUUCAUUUGAAACAGGACAAAGGCCGAAGGCAUGAUCUACUGUUUCUGCUCCUCCCUCACAAAUGGGACACAUUGCGUCUGGAACCAGCUUCUUCAAGAAUAAGUUUGGCAUGGUAGGGAUAUAAUUUUUUGAAAUACGCCAGACAGUAAUUUUUAGCUUGGAAGGCAGAUUUAAGUUCCAUAAUUUACGAUGGAAACUUUUACAUGUAGCUUGUAAUUCCUUUAAUCUAGGAGAAACACUAUUGAUUUGUAACAAUUUGUAAGCACUGCGAACGGAAAACUCACCAGAUGCUUACCCCCACCAAACCAGGACUUCAUCAUGUGGUUCAAGUGCCAGCGGGAUCUGAAGGAUUCUUGAUGCAUCAUCCUCAUCAAAGAUGGAAGUAAUAGUAUCCUAUUUCCAUUCUCUAUUAUCAUCAAUAAGCUCAGACACAAAUUCAAGAUUACAA
Gossypium raimondii (Peruvian cotton) is the source of this 1133-nucleotide long non-coding RNA. RefSeq lists it as uncharacterized. Lineage: Eukaryota; Viridiplantae; Streptophyta; Magnoliopsida; Malvales; Malvaceae. The transcript has 3 exons. The record is from RefSeq and is a predicted model, not a curated record.